This 253-nucleotide ribosomal RNA is filed under the name uncultured bacterium. Its description in RNAcentral is "partial 16S ribosomal RNA". It matches the Rfam family "Bacterial small subunit ribosomal RNA", at positions 524 to 776 of the family's 1533-position model. The record is from RNAcentral.
UACGUAGGGAGCAAGCGUUGUCCGGAAUCAUUGGGCGUAAAGAGCGUGUAGGCGGUCCUGUAAGUCCGCUGUGAAAGUCAAGGGCUCAACCCUUGAAUGCCGGUGGAUACUGCAGGACUAGAGUCCGGAAGAGGCGAGUGGAAUUCCUGGUGUAGCGGUGAAAUACGUAGAUAUCUGGGGGAACACCGGUGGCGAAGGCGGCUACCUGGCCCAACAUUGACACUGAGACCCGAAAGCGUGGGGAUCAAACAGG